GCCAGACUCCUACGGGAGGCAGCAGUGGGGAAUAUUGCACAAUGGGGGAAACCCUGAUGCAGCGACGCCGCGUGAGUGAAGAAGUAUUUCGGUAUGUAAAGCUCUAUCAGCAGGGAAGAAAAAAGACGGUACCUGACUAAGAAGCCCCGGCUAACUACGUGCCAGCAGCCGCGGUAAUACGUAGGGGGCAAGCGUUAUCCGGAUUUACUGGGUGUAAAGGGAGCGUAGACGGCGAUACAAGUCUGAAGUGAAAGCCCGGGGCUCAACCCCGGGACUGCUUUGGAAACUGUGUUGCUGGAGUGCUGGAGAGGCAAGCGGAAUUUCUAGUGUAGCGGUGAAAUGCGUAGAUAUUAGGAAGAACACCAGUGGCGAAGGCGGCUUGCUGGACAGUAACUGACGUUGAGGCUCGAAAGCGUGGGGAGCAAACAGGAUUAGAUACCCUGGUACC
RNAcentral lists this ribosomal RNA (448 nucleotides) under uncultured bacterium. Its description in RNAcentral is "bacterial SSU rRNA". It matches the Rfam family "Bacterial small subunit ribosomal RNA", at positions 330 to 794 of the family's 1533-position model. The record is from RNAcentral.